Molecule: ribosomal RNA, 374 nt
Filed under: uncultured prokaryote
Description: bacterial SSU rRNA
Rfam family: Bacterial small subunit ribosomal RNA
Source: RNAcentral
UACGAAGGUCCCAAGCGUUGUUCGGAUUUACUGGGCGUAAAGAGUCUGUAGGCGGCGGGGUAAGUCAGAUGUGAAAUCCCGGGGCUCAACCCCGGAACUGCAUCCGAUACUGCCUUGCUUGAGUAUUGGAGGGGAGCCUGGAAUUCUCGGUGUAGCAGUGAAAUGCGUAGAUAUCGAGAGGAACACUAGUGGCGAAGGCGAGGCUCUGGACAAUUACUGACGCUGAGAGACGAAGGUCAGGGGAGCGAAAAGGAUUAGAUACCCUUGUAGUCCUGACAGUAAACGGUGCACGCUUGGUGUGGGAGGGUUCGACCCCUUCCGUGCCGGAGCUAACGCGUUAAGCGUGCCGCCUGGGGAGUACGGUCGCAAGAUUA